AUUUAACGCUGGCGGCAGGCCUAACACAUGCAAGUCGAACGAGUGGCGGCCGGGUGAGUACUGUCUGGGACACUUCCUGAUGGAGGGGGAUAACUACUGGAAACGGUAUCUAAUACCGCCUACCAUCGGAUGUGCCCCGAUGGGAUUAGCUAGUAGGUGGGGUAAAGGGUCACCUAGGCGACGAUCCCUAGCUGGUCUGAGAGGAUGACCAGCAACAAUGGAACUGAGACACGGGACAGACUCCUACGGGAGGCAUAAGUGGGGAAGAGUGCAAAAUGGGCGCAAGCCUGAUGCAGCCAGGCCGAGUGUAGGAAGAAGGACUGCGGGUUGUAAAGGACUUUCAGAGGGGAGGCGUUACCCGCAGAAGAAGCACCGGCUAACUCCGUGCCAGCAGCCGCGGUAAUAC
This 406-nucleotide ribosomal RNA is filed under the name uncultured bacterium. RNAcentral's name for it is "partial 16S ribosomal RNA". It matches the Rfam family "Bacterial small subunit ribosomal RNA", at positions 29 to 526 of the family's 1533-position model. The record is from RNAcentral.